GACGAACGCUGGCGGCGUGCUUAACACAUGCAAGUCGAGCGGUAAGGCCUUUCGGGGUACACGAGCGGCGAACGGGUGAGUAACACGUGGGUGAUCUGCCCUGCACUUCGGGAUAAGCCUGGGAAACUGGGUCUAAUACCGGAUAUGACCUCCUAUCGCAUGGUGGGUGGUGGAAAGAUUUAUCGGUGCAGGAUGGGCCCGCGGCCUAUCAGCUUGUUGGUGGGGUAAUGGCCUACCAAGGCGACGACGGGUAGCCGACCUGAGAGGGUGACCGGCCACACGGGGACUGAGACACGGCCCAGACUGCUACGGGAGGCAGCAGUGGGGAAUAUUGCACAAUGGGAGAAAGCCUGAUGCAGCGACGCCGCGUGAGGGAUGACGGCCUUCGGGUUGUAAACCUCUUUCAGCAGGGACGAAGCGCAAGUGACGGUACCUGCAGAAGAAGCACCGGCUAACUACGUG
This 462-nucleotide ribosomal RNA is filed under the name uncultured bacterium. RNAcentral's name for it is "partial 16S ribosomal RNA". It matches the Rfam family "Bacterial small subunit ribosomal RNA", at positions 28 to 507 of the family's 1533-position model. The record is from RNAcentral.